Molecule: ribosomal RNA, 1380 nt
Filed under: human gut metagenome
Description: bacterial LSU rRNA
Rfam family: Bacterial large subunit ribosomal RNA
Source: RNAcentral
AUGGGUAACACCAUCUGGAGGACCGAACCAAUAAGCGUUGAAAAGCUUCUGGAUGACCUGAGGGUGGGGGUGAAAGGCUAAUCAAACUUGGAGAUAGCUCGUACUCCCCGAAAUGCAUUUAGGUGCAGCCUUGACUUAUACUGGCAUGAGGUAGAGCGACUGAUAAGAUGCGAGGGCUUCACCGCCUAUCAAGUCUUGACAAACUCCGAAUGCGUGUCAGUUCUAUGUCAGGAGUGAGGGCAUGGGUGCUAAGGUCCAUGUCCUAAAGGAGAACAAUCCGGACCAACAGCUAAGGUCCCUAAAUGAAUACUAAGUUGAACUAACGAAGUCAGAUUGCUAAGACAGCUAGGAUGUUGGCUUGGAAGCAGCCAUUCAUUUAAAGAGUGCGUAACAGCUCACUAGUCGAGGAGUUUGGCGUGGAUAAUAAUCGGGCAUCAAGUAUUCUACCGAAGCUUUGGGAUGUGUAAACAUCGGUAGGGGAGCAUUCCACUCAGCGUUGAAGGCGGGGCGUGAGCCUUUCUGGAGCGUGUGGAAAAGCAAAUGUAGGUAUAAGUAACGAUAAAGGGGGUGGGAAACCCCCUCGCCGAAAGACUAAGGUUUCCUGAUCAACGCUAAUCGGAUCAGGGUUAGUCGGGUCCUAAGGCUCAGCCGAACGGCGAGGCCGAUGGCAGAACCGGUUAAUAUUCCGGUACUACCUCAAGGAGUGACGUGGAGACGGAGCAGUGACAGUGCCGCGGACUGACGGAAUAGUCCGUUAAAGGGUGUAGAUGUUGAUUCCUGCAGGCAAAUCCGCAGGAAGAGUCGAACCUGACAGUAUGGAGCGUCCUUCGGGACAAUCCAAUAGUGCACGUAAGCAUACUCCCGAGAAAAUCCGCUAAACUUAAUCCUUGUGGUACCCGUACCGCAAACGGACACACGUAGUCGGGUUGAAUAUACUAAGGCGCUUGAGUGAUUCACGGUUAAGGAACUAGGCAAACUGACCCUGUAACUUCGGGAUAAAGGGUCCUCAGGGUGACUUGAGGCGCAGAGAAUCGGUCCAGGCAACUGUUUAACAAAAACACAGGGCUGUGCGAAAUAGAAAUAUGAAGUAUACAGCCUGACACCUGCCCGGUGCUGGAAGGUUAAGAGGAGAUGUCAUCGCAAGAGAAGCAUUGAAUUGAAGCCCCAGUAAACGGCGGCCGUAACUAUAACGGUCCUAAGGUAGCGAAAUUCCUUGUCGGGUAAGUUCCGACCUGCACGAAUGGUGUAAUGAUCUGGACGCUGUCUCAACCGUGAGCUCAGUGAAAUUGUAGUAUCGGUGAAGAUGCCGAUUACCCGCGAUGGGACGAAAAGACCCCGUGAACCUUUACUAUAGCUUAACAUUGAAUUUGGGUAAUUGAU